Molecule: long non-coding RNA, 423 nt
Filed under: Trifolium pratense (red clover)
Lineage: Eukaryota; Viridiplantae; Streptophyta; Magnoliopsida; Fabales; Fabaceae
Description: long non-coding RNA (TPRA_LNC006871)
Source: RNAcentral
AGGCGGGUAACGGAGAUAUUGGUACCCACCCCGAACCCGUCCCCGAACCUGCCCGUUUAUAUAAAAUUACUAUAUUACCCCUAUUUAUUUAUUUAUAAUGUCACAGAUCAUAUAAUUUAUCUACUUGAGUUAAGAUUUUUAAUGAACAAUGAUUCUUAGUUAUUUGUUUUUUUAGCAAUUUCAGUGAACAAUGAUGUAGAACAUUCUUGGUUAUGUGGUUGUUUUGACGGUAUUUUGGAAUAUUGGUUUCUACCGGUACUAUGUUAUGGUUUUGAUAAUUUUGGUUUGAUAUUUUGGAAUAUCAUUUCAUUUGUAUGUUUAAUGCAUUGAAAUUUUGGUUUGUACUUUAUUAUUUGAAAUUUUUUGUAUUGUAUGUAUGUCAGUAUUCGGGAAAAUUUUGGGUUCGGGUAAGGUUCAGCAGGN